GCGUAUCCAACCUGCCCCGAGGUCAGGGGACAGCCCCGGCGAAAAGUUCGGAUUUAUACCUGAUGGUCUCUUUUGAUGGCAUCUGAUGAGGAGUAAAGAUUCAUCGCCUUGGGAUGGGGAUGCGUAGGAUUAGGCAGCAGGCGGGGUAACGGCCCACCUGGCCAUCGAUCCUUAGGGGUUCUGAGAGGAAGGUCCCCCACACUGGUACUGAGACACGGACCAGACUCCUACGGGAGGCAGCAGUGAGGAAUAUUGGUCAAUGGGCGAGAGCCUGAACCAGCCAAGUAGCGUGCAGGAAGACGGGCCUACGGGUUGUAAACUGCUUUUAUGAGGGGAUAACGUGCGCCACGUGUGGUGUAUUGCAGGUACCUCAUGAAUAAGGACCGGCUAAUUCCGUGCC
Molecule: ribosomal RNA, 400 nt
Filed under: uncultured bacterium
Lineage: Bacteria
Description: bacterial SSU rRNA
Rfam family: Bacterial small subunit ribosomal RNA
Source: RNAcentral